This 423-nucleotide ribosomal RNA is filed under the name uncultured cyanobacterium. RNAcentral's name for it is "bacterial SSU rRNA". It matches the Rfam family "Bacterial small subunit ribosomal RNA", at positions 359 to 795 of the family's 1533-position model. Lineage: Bacteria; Bacillati; Cyanobacteriota. The record is from RNAcentral.
GAAUUUUCCGCAAUGGGCGAAAGCCUGACGGAGCAAUACCGCGUGAGGGAAGACGGCCUAUGGGUUGUAAACCUCUUUUCUCAGGGAGGAACUCAAUGACGUGUACCUGAGGAAUAAGCAUCGGCUAACUCCGUGCCAGCAGCCGCGGUAAGACGGAGGAUGCAAGUGUUAUCCGGAAUCACUGGGCGUAAAGCGUCUGUAGGUGGUUUAGUAAGUCAACUGUCAAAUCUUGAGGCUCAACUUCAAAAUCGCAGUCGAAACUAUUAGACUAGAGUAUAGUAGGGGUAAAGGGAAUUUCCAGUGGAGCGGUGAAAUGCGUAGAGAUUGGAAAGAACACCGAUGGCGAAGGCACUUUACUGGGCUAUUACUAACACUCAGAGACGAAAGCUAGGGUAGCAAAUGGGAUUAGAUACCCCAGUAGUC